RNAcentral lists this ribosomal RNA (699 nucleotides) under Austrochaperina palmipes (Dayman land frog). RNAcentral describes it as "partial 12S ribosomal RNA". The stretch from base 1 to 476 matches the Rfam family "Bacterial small subunit ribosomal RNA", at positions 861 to 1533 of the family's 1533-position model. Lineage: Eukaryota; Metazoa; Chordata; Amphibia; Anura; Microhylidae. The record is from RNAcentral.
CACUCAAACCGCCAGGGAAUUACGAGCUCAAGCUUAAAACCCAAAGGACUUGACGAUGCCCCAUCCCCCUAGAGGAGCCUGUUCUAUAAUCGAUUCUCCCCGAUCCACCUCACCGCCUCUUGAAUACUCAGUCUGUAUACCUCCGUCGCAAGCUUACCAUAUGAACGUACACUCAGUGGGCUUAACGGUUUAAUACCAACACGUCAGGUCAAGGUGCAGCCUACGAAGCGGGAAGAAAUGGGCUACAAUCUCUACACUAGAACAAACGGAAGACUGUGCAAUACAGCCAUUAAAGGCGGAUUUAGCAGUAAAAAGAAAAUAGAGAGUUCUUUUUAACAAGGCCCUGGGACACGUACACACCGCCCGUCACCCUCUUCAAGUAUUACAAUAAUGUUUAUAACACCCCAUAAUUCCACAGAAGAGGCAAGUCGUAACAUGGUAAGCGUACUGGAAAGUGCGCUUGGAACAACAAAAUGUAACUUAACAAAAGUAUCUCGCUUACACCGAGAACAUGUCUGUAAAAUUCUGACCAUUUUGAGCUCAAAAUCUAGCCCUACUAAUUCAAAUGAAACAAUCUAAUUAAACCUAAAAUAUAAAACAUUUUUUUAACCAAGUAAAGGCGAUUAAAAAGUAUCUAGGAGCCUUAACACUAGUACCGCAAGGGAAAGAUGAAAUAAAAAUGAAAUAAGCUUAAAGCAU